RNAcentral lists this long non-coding RNA (4744 nucleotides) under Sus scrofa (pig). Its description in RNAcentral is "lncRNA (ENSSSCG00030039018.1)". The record is from RNAcentral. Lineage: Eukaryota; Metazoa; Chordata; Mammalia; Artiodactyla; Suidae.
AAGUUCCCAGGCUAGGGGUCAAAUUGGAGCUGCAGCUGCCAGCCUACACCACAGUAGGAACGCCAGAUCUGAGCCAUGUAUGUGACCUACACCACAGGACACAGCAAUACUGGAUCCUUAACCCACUGAAGGUGGCCAGGGAUCAAAGCUGCAUCCUCAAAGAUACUAAUCAGGUUUGUUACUGCUGAGGCACAGCGGGAACUCCCCCCAAGGGUAAACAUUUGUAAUGGGCAGACUACAGAAUUAAUCCUUCCCUGCAUCUCUGUCCCUUUCCAUUCUAUUCCUAACUCAGGGUCCCCAUGAACUGGAGCCAAGCCAUCUGAGAAGAGGAAGUGAUAAGCGGCCAUAGAAAUUAAUCUAUUACUUAAGCUUCUUGAAGAUCAGAUAAACCUCUUGAUUAAUGCAUCUUUGCAGUUUUCUUUUAACUUCAUUAAAAUAGAGAAAUUUCAACUUUUCACCAAGUCAUUUCAUCUAUAAAAAGUGAAAGUUAAACUUGAUCAUCUUUAAGGUCCAGCACUGAAAUGUGUGAGAUCUUGAUGCUUCAAGAAUUAGAACAUUUGUCUAUUCACAUGUGUCUACUUUCUUUACACAGGAUGUACAUAAUCCUAGGCAUUUUAACUUCUCCUAUCUUCUGAAAAGAAUUAGAUAAACGAGCUCCUAGCAUAGUAGAAGGUUUAGAAGAUUAUUAGGCAGAUUCCUAAGUCUUUCUGAGCCCAUAAUAAGAUAACAAAUUAAACAAAACAAUAGUAAAGGCAUGACAAAUAAGCCAGUGUUUGUUUGUGAAUCGAUGGAACACACAGCAACCUAAGAUUUAUUAUUUGAGAAUAACCAAGAUAGGCUGUCUUCCCACCCUUCCUUUUAUAAAUAGAAAGGUAUAAAUGCAUACAUAUAUUCAUAUAUCUCAAACAGGUAUUGCAAAAAAGAUGGGAAAUGAAAAACAACUGUCAAGAAUGCCUAUGAGCAAGAAAUAUGAGAAGUUUGAUCUAAAUAUAAAAAGCUGAAAUCACAUGCCACAGAUGGAGCAUUUAGAACAACAACAACAACAAAAUGUAUGGUGGGCACAGUUUACUUUUCAUGGCUUACAGCAAGAGAUUCUAUUUUGUUAACUUUGCAAGACCUAUUCACUACAUGAUGCAAUGAAUGAAGAGAUAAAAACUAUAAAUUAUCCACUGAGAAUUUGUGGGCUAUUUAGAAAGAACUGAAGCAAAGUGUGCUUCUUUAUUUUAAUGCAGUCAGACAGCAUGGUGAAAAUCUAUUGACGAAAUUUACUAAACGUCUGCCUCAAAUAAAGACGAUUUUAAGACUCCAGAUUCUCAGAAGCCUAAUUUCUUGGUUUCCUAUUGGCCUUAAAAAGAUAAGGCAUCUGAACCAAAUGAAACUGAAUCUAUUGAAAACAUAAGAACACAUGAUUGGGUUUGACAAAGAUAUCAACCUGUUUGGGCUCAAUAUGGACACCUGGACUGAGCUGGGCUCCACAUCCCCCUUGUUGCACUUGAACUAUACAGAAUCAUAGUCAUAGGAAAAUUACAGAGCCGUGUUGUGGAAAUUAAUUUGCAAUUUCAGAAGAGAGUUACAAUAGAAAGGGGAAAAAAGAUUAACUGUUUCCCCAACUUUCCAUAAGUUAUGAGUCUUGGCUGAAGAAGCAGAAAGCCAGAGAAAGAGAAAGAAGAAGAGGUGGACUAUGUAAUGAUUAGUACCAGAAAAUCCAGUGAAGUCCUAUUGGGUGGAGAAUGCCAUGGAUCCCAAAUCAAGAGGUUGCAGGCAUAUUCUCAGAAAAUACAUUUCUUUUGGGUCAGUAGGAAUGACAAAAUAUGAACUUUCCAUCAUUGUGUCAUACAAAGUUUUUGAAACUUUUACUUUCUAUCAUGGCAGAUCUUGUCUGAAGGAUCAGAAGGACAAAGUACCCAUGCUACUGCAUUAAUUAGGGAAAUUUUGAACAUUUAGUGACUUCAGGUAAGUGUAUAUUCAGAUGCCUUUUGUUUGUUUGUUUGUUUUUCUCUCUGUUUUAGAGUGGGUAAAUCUCCACAAUAAGAGAUUUUUUUUUUCUUCAAAGCAAGCACUUGGGAAAAUCCAGUAUAAGUUAGAUGCUUUACACGUAUUCUGAUCACAUCAAUCCUCUUAGGAUAGCUAUUAUCAGCCUCAUUUUUUCCAAUGAAAUGUCUGAAGAGAGUGAAGUGAUAUGCCUAAGGUCUCACAGAUUGCAGGUGGCAGAAUUGAAAUGCAAAUCUAUGUUUUCUAGCUGUGAAUUUCCUCCUUUUCAUGUACACCAUGCUUCCUUCUCCAAGAAGUUCAAGUUCGACCUUUCUCUUUUCUUUAACUCGUGAUAGCUUCUUCUUUUCUUUAACUCAUGGUAUCAGAAUACCAUCAGGAUCUCCAUCUAUCCACCUGCUCAUUAUGGUAAUGUUGGGUCCAUUGCUCUGAGUUUAUGAAGAGCUCUGUAUGAAGAAAGUGAUAUAAAACGUAAAAUGCUUUUUAUUUUUUUAAUGGGUAGGAAUGCUUAUAGGAUUUUUUUCUCCUCCAGUUUAAACUAAGCGAACUGUGUUCAGACAUUUCCUAGUAUUGAACCAUUCUUAAAUUACUGGCAUGAAAACCAUGUGUUCAACUUUUUACUUUCCUAAUGGGUUGCUGCAUUCAAUUUGUUCAUUUUUUGUAGUAUCGACUGAAGUCAGGGAGCCUGAUUCCUCAGUUCCAUUUUUCUAUUGAGAUAUUAGUUGGGCUAUCCAGGGUCUUCUGUGUUUCCAUACAAAUUUUAAAAUAUUUUGUUCUUGGAGUCCCCAUUGUGGGUCAGCAGAUUAAGGACCCAAUGUUGUCUCUGUGAGGAUGUGGGUUUGAUCUCUGGCCUCGCUCAGUGGGUUAUGGAUCUGGCAUUACCCCUAUUUUUUUAAAAAAAAAAAUCAUUCCAGUUCUGUGAAGAAUAUCAUUGGUAACUUGAUAGGGAUUGCACUGAAUCUGUAGAUUGCCUUGAGCAGUAUAGUCAUUUCGACAAUGGUCAUUCUUCCAAUCCAAGAGUAUGGUAUAUUUUUCCAUCUGGUUGUGUCAUCUUUGACUUCUUUCAUCAGUGUUUCAUAGUUUUCAGAGUGCAGGUCUUUUGUCUCUUUAGGUAGGUUUACUCCUAAGGAUUUUAUUCUUUUGGAUGAGAUGGCACAAAUGGGAUUGUUUCCCUUAUUUCUCUUUCUGAUCUAUCAUUGCUAGUAUAUAGAAGUGCAAUAGAUUUCUGUGUAUUGAUUUUGUAUCCUGCAACUUUACCAAAUUAAUUGAUGAGCUCUAACAGUUUUCUAGUAGCAUCUUUAGGACUUCCUGUGUAUAGUACCAUGUCAUUUGCACUGACAGUUUUAUGUCUUUUCCAAUUUGGAUUCUUUUUAUUUCAUUUCCAUCUCUGAUUGCCAUGGCUAGGACCUCCAAAUCUAUGUUGAAUAACAGUGGUAAGAGUAGACAUCCUUGUCUUGUUCCUGAUCUUAGCAGAACUGCUUUCAGCUUUUCACCACUGAGAAUGAUGUUAGCUGUGGGCUUGUCAGCAUUCAGUUUGUUUAUAUUUGAUUUAUGAUGUUUGCAAUUAUUCAUAAGUGAAAUCGUUCUGCAGUUUUAUUAUAUUGUGCUGUUAUGCGAGGUUUUUUUUUCCAAUAUACACUUUCCAAAACAUCUUUGUCUAGAAUCAUGGAUUCCUUUACAUUUGGGGAGAUAAUUCACCAAAGGGGGGGAGAAAGGGUAGAGGUUCCUACACCUGAAGAAUAUAACUCUUGUCUUUAACGUCCAUAACUCUCCUUAAUAAGCAAACUUCCAGAUAAAUCUGGAUCACAGAGGUCCUACCUUAACCUCUCAGCCUAAACUGAUAAGUUGAUUUACAUUAAACUGAACAACUACCAAGAAGAAACAGUAUCCCUCAAAUUGCAGAGAGAGGCAAAUGAGCCUCAGAGCUAGAAAUUUCAGACUCUUUGGCUAAACACCACCUGCCCCUGUAAAAAGACACUAUUUUUUUUUUCAUAAAAUGUGUUUCAGAUAAAGAGCUCACUCCCAAGAACCCAGGUGCUUCCAUCUUUCCCCUCUGUCAUUCUCCUCACCUUGACAUGAUGUUACAGCAGUCCCAGGUGUCACAAGCAGACGUGGCUGUAUCAUGGGAAGAAGGGAGGCACUUCCUUCCAUGUGCCUAUUUUAUUAGCUAAAACAUUUCCCAGGAGUCCCUAGUGGACACCUCUUCCAGUCUUUUUCACCAGGAUUAGAUUUCACGCCCAUGUCACAGAUGCAAGGGAGAUGAGAAGAAAAGCACAAGGCAUAUUUCACGUCUACUGUGGGUAUAUACUCUCUGAGAAAGCAAAAAGAGAGAGCGAGCAUGCACAAGCUGUCCUGGAGACAACCAACAAUAUGAUCAAUAUGAUCACAAAUUGAGAAAAGGGGAGGAUGGGACACUACAUAAGACCCUUGCGGAAGGAGGAAAGAGCAUCCAAGGAGGGAGCAUGUGGGUGCAAAAGACAAAAACUAUUGUUCACCGCACAGUGUUGACCAAGAACUGUAUGAGAGGGCAUGGUUAUCUUUUAGCAUCUUGUGUAGUCUUUGAAUCAAUUUUUAAUUUUCCCAUGAGGUUGGAUGGAUUGAAAACAUAAGGUCCACAAGGGCUAGAUAUAUUCAUGACCAUGCUAUUGAAUUAUAGGAAUAAUUCAAGAUAGGAAUAUUUGGGACCAUAUCUUAUUUUUCUGAUAUUGAAAUCAAAGAAUACAGCAGCCAUUGGCUUUGACAACCGUCCUGGUGA